UACGAAGGGGGCUAGCGUUGCUCGGAAUCACUGGGCGUAAAGGGUGCGUAGGCGGGUCUUUAAGUCAGGGGUGAAAUCCUGGAGCUCAACUCCAGAACUGCCUUUGAUACUGAGGAUCUUGAGUUCGGGGAGAGGUGAGUGGAACUGCGAGUGUAGAGGUGAAAUUCGUAGAUAUUCGCAAGAACACCAGUGGCGAAGGCGGCUCACUGGGCCCCGGUCUGACGCUGAGGGUGCGAAAA
RNAcentral lists this ribosomal RNA (239 nucleotides) under uncultured bacterium. Its description in RNAcentral is "partial 16S ribosomal RNA". It matches the Rfam family "Bacterial small subunit ribosomal RNA", at positions 524 to 759 of the family's 1533-position model. The record is from RNAcentral.